Molecule: ribosomal RNA, 484 nt
Filed under: uncultured bacterium
Lineage: Bacteria
Description: partial 16S ribosomal RNA
Rfam family: Bacterial small subunit ribosomal RNA
Source: RNAcentral
AUUGAACGCUGGCGGCAUGCCUUACACAUGCAAGUCGAACGGCAGCACGGGUGCUUGCACCUGGUGGCGAGUGGCGAACGGGUGAGUAAUACAUCGGAACGUACCUUAUCGUGGGGGAUAACGCAGCGAAAGUUGCGCUAAUACCGCAUACGCCCUGAGGGGGAAAGCGGGGGACCGUAAGGCCUCGCGCGAUUAGAGCGGCCGAUGUCUGAUUAGCUUGUUGGUGAGGUAAAAGCUCACCAAGGCGAUGAUCAGUAGCUGGUCUGAGAGGACGAUCAGCCACACUGGGACUGAGACACGGCCCAGACUCCUACGGGAGGCAGCAGUGGGGAAUUUUGGACAAUGGGGGCAACCCUGAUCCAGCAAUGCCGCGUGAGUGAAGAAGGCCUUCGGGUUGUAAAGCUCUUUUGUCAGGGAAGAAACAGCAGCUCUAACACAGUCUGCGAAUGACGGUACCUGAAGAAUAAGCACCGGCUAACUACGU